Molecule: long non-coding RNA, 2373 nt
Organism: Bactrocera neohumeralis
Lineage: Eukaryota; Metazoa; Arthropoda; Insecta; Diptera; Tephritidae
Exons: 5
Source: RefSeq, a predicted model, not a curated record
UCGCGGCGGACAGUUGGAAUUCGUUGUCGCUGCGUUGCGGAUGCUCAAAUCGGAUGUGCAAGGCACCAAUUUUCGCAAAUGUCACAUACAAAUGUAUGUGUGUGCGUGUGUGUAGACAAACGGGCGUAUUGUUAACGGGUAUUGUGCUAAUUUCGUGCGGAAUUUCAUUCUAAUUGUGAAAAUUUACACAUUUGUGUUAGAAUCGUACGGAACUUAUGAAUUGAAACAAAAAUUUUCAGAAAUAUGUAAAUUUAGUGGUGUGUUCGAAAAAUUGCGUGUGUGUGUCGGCGUGCGUGCUGAAUUUCCAGCCGUGGCAGGCAGAAGUCGGAAAUUAGUCGUGAACAGUUAUUUCUGUCACUCAGCUGCCUAACUGGCUGGCUGGCCAAUGUUCUGGUCAGCGAUUUUCUCAGCUGUUGGUGAUUUUUAAAGUGAUUUGUUACUGUUGUUGCGAUUUGAAAACAAAAAAAAAUAUUUUUUGGAAUAAAAAUUAAUGUGUGGUGUAUUUUGUUGAAGUGUUCACUGAAAAAUGUCAAUAUUUUAUUUCGAAAAUAUUUUUUUAUAAUUUUUACUGAAUAAAAAUAUCGAAAUUAUUAAAUCUAAGUCGCGCUAUAAUUGACGAAAAAAAAAUUUCUUCAAAAAUAAAAACAGAUUUAUAAAAAAAAUAAAGAAAUAUAUAAUUUUUCUACAGCAAAAAAACAAACUCCUAAGAAAAUUUUUCUAAAAAACAACACUCAAAGUAGUAAAAAAAAGUCUAAGCCAUUAAAUUUAUGGUCGCUUAACUGAAAAAAAGAAAUCGAACAAUACCAACAACAGAAUAAAAAAAAUUAAAAAACAAAUAUUCUUUUGCUUAUUUGUCAAUUCACCACAAAAAAGAAAACGCAAAAAUAUUUAACAAAAACAACAACAUAUUUUUUUUUGCGAUUUUUCUACCUAUUUAAUCCAUUAAGUGUUGCAAAUCGCACACAAGCGUGAGCAACCUACCCCAAGCUAUUGAGGUGACGCUCAAGCAAACGCAAUAAAAUAUAGUUAAUAAGCUCAGCACGCCAUUUAAAAGCAGAAUAGAGGCAAAAAAUCGCAACAAACGCAAAAAUUAUAAAGAACCCAACAAAACACAACAAAAACAAAGAAAAGCGCAACACUAAGCGGCUUUGCCACACGACGGAAAUAGCACUAUAGUGCUCGUAUAAACCCAUAGUCAACAGUUUAAGAAGAAUACUUGGUGUAACUUAUUGAUCAUACAUGCAUUAACAUCGCUUGAAACUGUAAAGAUCAAAGCGAACUACCAUAAAUAACUGUAUUGUAGACAAAGAUCUCGUAUCGGCUCACCCAACGAAGCUGGCGGUCGUGCAGUAGCGAUCAUUAACGCCACCACCUCCAAACGCCAUCGCCGCCACCUCAUGGCUAGCAUCCACUGCUGCAGCAAGAUACAGAGUGACGAGCGUGCAGCGUUCGGCCAAUGUCGUUGCCGUCGUAGUCGUCAGUGUAAUCGGCGAGCGUAAUCGUGUACAUGUCGGUGUCUCCAAUGCGCUGCGCGGCGUCGUCGUCGUCGUCGUCAACUUUUCUCAAGCAGCCAGCUCAAGUGUGCGUAUUGUUGUUGUGAGCUCAAGCACUUUGCGACCAACUCCAGACAUUGUUUUUGUUGAUUUUCGACUUUUGGCACGUUGCUUGCUGUCGACGCCGCUGUUGCUGCUGCUUGCUCCAAUCGUCGUUGGAGAACGUCGUGCAACUGAACAUUUUCGGCUGACUUUGUCAACAGACAUGGCGCUCCGACGGCGCUAGUACGAAUUCAUCUACCGACGCGCGUUGUCCGUUAUAGCGGUUGUGCGGCGUUUCAUGGCGUGUGUUGGUACGUUGUGGUCAUGUUGUAGGCGAGCAAACGUAAUUUCCUAUACGAACGAGUACUUUUCUUCGCCUGCGAGUCGCAGGAAAACGCAGGAGGUUUAAAAAGUGUGUCGCGCAUGCGUUAAGAAAAAAAGUGAAUAUUGUGAAUUGCAAGUAAAUAUUUGUAUGUGAGUAAGUGGCAUGCGAAAAAGCUGCCGAUUAAUGUUGUCUGGGUUUCGUGCCCUACUGUCCGGGGUGUCAUCAGUGCAACUUUGCGCAAAAAAAAAUUGCAAAAAUCAGCGAAAAGAUACGAAAUUGUCGGAUGAACUUAAUGAGCGCUUUUGUAAUAACGGAAAUGUGAGCAAGUGAUUUUUGUGCAGCACAAGGCAGUAAAUUUUCGAAAUACGCAAAAAAAAAAAUUGCCGAAAGUUUAAAACGAAUUCAUAACGAGCGGUAUUACAUAACGAAAGGUACUUAUGUAUGUGUGUCAAUAAAAAAAAUUAAUUUGUGACGAAGAAUUAAAGUAAAUACGAAUUUAACGAGUGAAUUGAA